AUUGCCCUAGUAACGGCGAGUGAAGCGGCAACAGCUCAAAUUUGAAAUCUGGCUCCUUUGGUGCCCGAGUUGUAAUUUGCAGAGGGUGCUUUGGUGUUGGCUGUGGUCCAAGUUCCCUGGAACAGGACGUCACAGAGGGUGAGAACCCCGUACGUGGCCGCCAGUCUUCGCCGUGUAAAGCCCCUUCGACGAGUCGAGUUGUUUGGGAAUGCAGCUCUAAAUGGGAGGUAAAUUCCUUCUAAAGCUAAAUAUUGGCCAGAGACCGAUAGCGCACAAGUAGAGUGAUCGAAAGAUGAAAAGCACUUUGGAAAGAGAGUGAAAUAGCACGUGAAAUUGUUGAAAGGGAAGCGCUUGGAGCCAGACGUGCCCGUAGUUGCUCAGCCGGGGUUCUCCCCGGUGCACUCUUCUGCGGGCAGGCCAGCAUCAGUUUGGGCGGUUGGACAAAGGCCUGCUAAACGUACCUCCUCCCGGGGAGGACUUAUAGGGUAGGCGGCAUACGACCAGCCCGGACUGAGGACCGCGCAUCUGCUAGGAUGCUGGCGUAAUGGCUGUAAGCGGCCCGUCUUGAAACACGGACCAAGGAGUCUAACAUCUAUGCGAGUGUUUGGGUGUCAAGCCCGAGCGCGCAAUGAAAGUGAACGCAGGUGGGAGCCUCUCGGGGCGCACCAUCGACCGAUCCUGAUGUCUUCGGAAGGAUUUGAGUAAGAGCAUAGCUGUUGGGACCCGAAAGAUGGUGAACUAUGCCUGAAUAGGGUGAAGCCAGAGGAAACUCUGGUGGAGGCUCGCAGCGGUUCUGACGUGCAAAUCGAUCGUCAAAUUUGGGCAUAGGGGCGAAAGACUAAUCG
This 845-nucleotide ribosomal RNA is filed under the name Magnibotryascoma mali. RNAcentral describes it as "partial large subunit ribosomal RNA". It matches the Rfam family "Eukaryotic large subunit ribosomal RNA", at positions 74 to 937 of the family's 3401-position model. The record is from RNAcentral. Lineage: Eukaryota; Fungi; Ascomycota; Dothideomycetes; Pleosporales; Teichosporaceae.